This 165-nucleotide ribosomal RNA is filed under the name Trimma marinae (princess pygmy goby). RNAcentral's name for it is "partial 12S ribosomal RNA". The record is from RNAcentral. Lineage: Eukaryota; Metazoa; Chordata; Actinopteri; Gobiiformes; Gobiidae.
CACCGCGGUUAAACAAUAGGCCCAAAUUGAUAAAUUCGGCACAAAGGGUGGUUAAUUUAACUAAAACUAAAGUAGAACCUCUUCACCGCUGUCAUACGCACCCGACUGAGGGAAUUUCAACAACGAAAGUGACUUUAAAACUAUGAACCCACGAAAACUAAGAAA